UCGUUCGUUCAAACCGUACCAUGAGGUGUUUUGUGACGCUUAGCAAUAUUGUUUUUACGUCAAAUUUAGCAAUCUUAAAUAAGUUGCUCCGGUGCUACUUCAACAACAUUGAUUUGCGGAAUUUAUUGAAAAAUAAGUAUUACUUACACAAUUACACAUUGCAUAAAUUUUAGAUGGCAAGUGAAUACGAAAUCUUUGAAUUUUUGGAGGCCCGGACCCUCGAAUAAUCAUAAUAACAGGAAGCAGCGCAUGCAAAUGUGUGAAGAGUGUCCGCCUUUCCGUUUAGACGACACGAAAUUAGUUAGGCGAUAUAGGAUUACAGAUGAACUUGUACCCAAUUUAUGUGACGAAAUAUAAGGCCAUCAAUGAGAAAUCCACAGACUUAUCUAUCGAGACGAAGGUGUUCAGUGCAUUGCAACCACAUAUAGGCAAUAAUGAAGGACGUUUUGUGUCAGCAAACUGUAUCAUCUGCCAUCCCACAAGUUACUACUUGCCUUAACUCGCUGGAAAUGCGGAAUAAGUACCUAAGUAUAUAGUACAAUUUCCAGAGAGCACCCAGGAACGCAACAUGAUCAAAACCCUUUGUUUUGUAUCUAUCACUAUCAUUAUCCUUUCGCAGGGCUGCAGGAAGAAAUCACAUAAGGGA
Long non-coding RNA from Spodoptera litura, 646 nucleotides. RefSeq lists it as uncharacterized. Lineage: Eukaryota; Metazoa; Arthropoda; Insecta; Lepidoptera; Noctuidae. The record is from RefSeq and is a predicted model, not a curated record.